AUCCACUUCACUGGAGUUUACCAUGCAGACCCACGAUAGGGUAGAAGAAGUGACAAGAAGGGAGAAGCAGCAGCCGGUAUUUCAGCGUGGGUUACAUCAAGUAUGUGUCUGGACCCUCAGCUCUGGUGACAGCAGCCUCAACCUGAAAACAGCCUGAAGUUUUGCGAAUCCUCCCACGCUGUAGCACAUCCAGCAAGGUGGCCUCAAACACAGCCUGGAGCUCAGGAUGAGUGCUGGGGAAAGGCUGAAGCUCAGCCCAGUCCUGCUGCUCUCCAGCUAUUUUUCAUCAGGGAAAUCUGCAAGUGAAUAUAAAUCAGAACACAUUGAGGUUUCCCUGAUUCCUCUGUGAGAUUCUAGGUUGAAGUUAUAAUACAGACAUACAGUAACCUAAAAAUCAGAUUUGCUCCCUCUCUAGACUGCUGAUGUACGAAGUUCAGAGGAAAGGAACAGCAGGUUCCAAAUAAACAGGCAUAACCCUCAUUCAGAUUGGUUUAUAUGCAAUUGCUGUGUCAUUUACAUAUAUUCCAUUGCAUUUUCCAUGCAAUCAACAUUAAGUUGAAUGAAAGGCCCUUUUCUGAAGAUGUAAGUUAUCUUCUCAUCAGUAUGUAGGAAACACUCUAGAUUAAAUCAGAAUAUUUCUCAGAAUGCUCUUGAAAUUGCAGAGGUAAAUCCAAUCAGUUCUAAUUCUGUUACAAAAUCAUCUGCUCAAUUC
Tympanuchus pallidicinctus (lesser prairie-chicken) is the source of this 712-nucleotide long non-coding RNA. RefSeq lists it as uncharacterized. Lineage: Eukaryota; Metazoa; Chordata; Aves; Galliformes; Phasianidae. The transcript has 3 exons. The record is from RefSeq and is a predicted model, not a curated record.